CCCAGGCACACACAACAACAUGGCAAAAAAUUAUAAUUUUAAAGAAAUAUUUACAAUUUCCCAACAUAAUAAUUAUAUAUUUAUUGGCAUUUCUUUACAUUUCUUAAUUACUUUCAUUUUUUUCCAUGAUAUAUUUCUUUUCAUGCAUUUCUUUACAUUUCUUAUAUAUUAUUUAAUUUCUUUUCGUUCUUUACAUUUCAUUUCUUAUAUUACUGUCAUUUUUUUCAUAAUUAUAUAUUAUUUAAUUUGUUUUCAUUUCUUUACAUUUCUUUACAUUUCUUAAAUGACUUUCCUUUUUUUCAUAAUUAUAUAUUACAUUUCCUGACAUUUCUUAUAUUACUUUCAUUUUUUUUUAGAGUAUAUAUUACCUACAUUUCUUUUCAUUUUUUUAUUACUUUCACUAUUUCUCGGUCUUAGGCCUGUUUCAACGUCGCAUUUUGCACGUUUCGAAUUUAAAUCGCUUUGGCGUGGUUUCGAAAACUUCAUGUAAUGUGUUUCGGAGAAAGAUAAAUCUUUGGAUAUAUUUCUCAUUUUCAACAACUUAGGCUUAAACAUUCUUAAGACGUUCUUAAUCAUAGGCACUUUUGCAGUUUAACGAUCUUCGGUGUAUUCUUAGUAAAUUCUUUAAAUUUUGCUUAUUCUAACCUUAGAUAAAAUAUGCUUUAAUAUCUCAAGCUAAACGUUCUUCCAGGCAACGCCCAAGCCCAAUUGAAUUCAAAUACAUACAAAAUUCUACGUUUGAAACGGAAUACACUGGAAUCAAAUGCGACUUGCAUAUAUUCGACACAAGCAAAGUGGGACGUUGAAACCAGGCUUUACUUUUGUAAAUUUUACUUUAAAUGAUCUACAUUAAUUACGAGCUACAUUUCCUCUUCUAUUCGCACUAAGUUAAAAUUCGUUUCUUAUAUUUAUUCAAUUAUUGGAUUUUAAUGGGAAGACAACUGCACCCAAAGUCACCACAUGCUUAAACCACAAAUCAAGACUUCAUAUAUAGUACAAGAUCCUUACGCGUUUAGCCUCAAUUUUGUCAAUCGAUAACGUUCAGUAAUUUAGACUAAAAAAGUUUUUUUCAUUUAUAACAAUAUUCUUUCAAUUUUUUUAGUUUUUUAAAUUGACUGAAUGUUACCAGCAUGCAUAGUCGAAACUCCGUCAACCAGCAAAAUUUGAACCAGUUUAAAGUUGAUGCAAGACAUAAGAAACGAUGAAACUUUGGUAGUCAAAUGUGACCGACAACUCUCAAUAACUCUCUUAAUUAAACAGCAUAACCGGAAGAAAUGGUUGGCCUUAAAUUUGAUUAUACUUCGAUGUUUGUGCUUCUACACGUCUGUUUAUUUUGAACUUAAAAAUAAAGCUUUUGCAAGAAGGUUUUCAUAUUACAAUUUCUUUCGGGUCCGGGGAUUAAAUCAACCAGCUUGCAAAUAAUCCUGAUACAGUGAAGAACAACUUGAAAUUCUGCGUCAUUACGGCAUGAAUGAGGAAGUUCGUAUUUGAAGGAAAGUUGAAGGAAACUUCGGAAUAUUGAAAGAAAUUGCCUUAUUUCAAAAAAAUCCUAAGAAUACGGCAAUUUCCAAGGAAAUGCGCUUCAAAAUAUGCUGAAAAUCCUGUGUGCGAGAUGCAAAAUCUGAAAGGGGAGGACCCUAGGUAAAUUCUUUGUCUGCGCUUUAGGAACAGGAGUAACUUGAACAGACAUGUUAAAAACCUGCACAGUGCCAGUGGAAACAAGCCUUAUGAAUGUGAAACAUGCAUGCGAAAAUAUUGGACGAAGAGCAGUUUACAGACACAUACAAGAACAAUCCUUCCUUUGACACACCCUGUAUAUAAUUAUUACCUUGGCAGGGAACUUUUAUCCAAGGUGGCGUUGGCCCUUUUUUCUCAAGGUCGUUCUAAUGAGUACAAUUUAUCAAAUUUUAUGCCUUAAUUGAGACAAUGUAUACUUUUAUGUUUUAAACAAAGAAAACAACCAAUUGUGGCUAGAAUUUUACAAGACGCGAUGAAGAAGGCAAAGAAGAUGAUUUUAUUAAUCAUUAUUGUUAGGUUUUGAGAUGAUAAUGAUUAUUAUUAGGUUUUAUGUGUAUCUUCCUCAUCCAAGGGUACAUAACCACCACAUGAGAUGCGUGUAGAAAAGCUAAAUUUGGUUCUAGCAACGCACAACGAUGACAGUCUGCUUGUACCGGUUGAUACAACAACGGAUGCGCAGACUGUUCCAGCUAGAAUUUUUCAAGACGCGAUGAAGAAGGCAACAGAAAAAACUAUAGCAGGAUAAUUUUAUGAUAUAUACUCCUUAGGGUAGUUUGAGCACUCUCAUGGCCCCAUGAUACUAUGCGCAUGUCUGGAUGCGUUGGCGACCCGUGGUGUUGCACCACAAGUGCUUGGUGAGAGUUUCUGUUUGAUGUGUAUUUUAUAACUUUUUUAUACGCUGCCUGGAACUGGGAACGCAUAUGUUCGGGCAGCAGGAUUUUUAGACAAGGUUGCUCUAAUUUUGGCCUCAACAAGAUAGAUAAGCAGAGCCAGUCGAUUCGGGACAAACAGGCUCUGGACGAGAGCAAUCGAAGCAAAUGGUCGUUGUCGCUUAAGACUCUAUGGCUGGGAGUUGUCAAGUGCUGAUCAGAGCGUUUCAGAUAAAUCAUUCUCUGAAAUUGACCCUCAAGGGUUUAAUGUUACUCCGUUAUUGAUGGUCUUAAACAUUUUUCCGCAGGUCAUCUCAUUGGCGAAUGUCGAUUCAAACGAGAUGCUGGACGCUGCCUGGACAUGGGAACGCCUAUGUUCAGGCAGCAGAAUUGCUCUAUUUUUGUUUAGUGGGCAUGGUGUGGGAGAAGGCUGGAAUAGCCUGCUUCUACCGGUUGAUGCAACCAGUGCGGCACAGGUUGUUCCAGCCAAAAUGUUCCAACGGGCCAUGCUGGCGGCUUCAAAGAAAAUCAUGAUCUUCAAUUGCUGCCGAGAAAAGUAAGCAAAAAAUCCGCAGGUGAUGUCAUUAUCCAAUCUCGACUCAAAUGAGAUGCUGGACGCUGCCUGGACAUGGGAACCGCCUACAGUAUGUCCAGGCAGCAGGAUUGCCCUGUUUAUAUACAGUGGGCAUGGUGUGGGAGGCUAGAACAGCCUGCUUCUACCGGUUGAUGCAACCAGUGCGGCAGAUACACUCAUUUUUUUGUAGUAUAGACUCUAUGAGUUUAUAACAGGUGGUUUACUAGUAACUAGUAGCAUUUUUAUUUGCCUCCAUCGUUCUUUCCGGCACCACAACUCACAUUGGCUCACAUAUUUCAGAUACACCAUCCAGGCUCUCUUUCGAUGUCCAUAAAGUUGACAUUUCUAUGGAUUUUAUAAUCAAUUUAUUCAUAAAUUUUUUAAAGGCUAGUUUGUAUAUAAUAGACGUAUAUAUUGAAAUAAGCAAUAUUCCACUGAUGAAGCCUUCAGACCGGCGAAACGUCGGUAAAAUGAAACCUUUUAACAUCUUUUUAUUUUAAUUUUAUGCAUGAAGAAAUUUUUUAACCUUUUCAAAUAUCCACCGGGCAUGUUACCUACAACCCCUCCUUAGGGUUGUUUGAGCAAUCUGGCCCCAUGAUACUCUGCUCAUGUCUGGAUGAGUUGGUGGCCCGUGUUGGUGAGAGUUUCUGUUUGAUGUAUAUUUUAUAACUUUUUUAUGCACCCUGUAUAGAUGUGAAAGAAAAUAGCCCACAAACAAUAUGCCGGUACUCCACAAUGACUGAGCCAGUGUUUUUGUAAACUGGUGAUGAGGAUGAUUUUUUACAUGUCGGUCUGUAACAAACCUUACAGACCGACAUGUAAAAAAUCAUCCUCAUCACCAGUUUACCUUAAGGUCCUGUUCACACGAUCCCGGGAUAAACAACCGGUGGAUGCAACAUCGGCUGCGCAGGCUGUUAGAGCCCCAUGAUACUCUGCUCAUGUCUGGAUGAGUUGGUGGCCCGUGUUGGUGAGAGUUUCUGUUUGAUGUAUAUUUUAUAACUUUUUUAUGCACCCUGUAUAGAUGUGAAAGAAAAUAGCCCACAAACAAUAUGCCGGUACUCCACAAUGACUGAGCCAGUGUUUUUGUAAAACUGUAAAACGACUGGUAUCUCACUCGUUUGAAUAAUGAAAAAAGAGGACUGGAACAGCCUGCUCGCACCAGUAGAUGCAACAAGGCG
This 4139-nucleotide long non-coding RNA is filed under the name Paramuricea clavata. Lineage: Eukaryota; Metazoa; Cnidaria; Anthozoa; Malacalcyonacea; Plexauridae. The record is from RNAcentral.